UACGGGGGGAGCAAGCGUUGUUCGGAUUUACUGGGCGUAAAGAGCUCGUAGGCGGUCUGUCGCGUCGGCUGUGAAAACCCGGGGCUCAACCCCGGGCCUGCAGUCGAUACGGGCAGACUAGAGUGCGGUAGGGGAGACUGGAAUUCCUGGUGUAGCGGUGAAAUGCGCAGAUAUCAGGAGGAACACCGGUGGCGAAGGCGGGUCUCUGGGCCGUAACUGACGCUGAGAAGCGAAAGCGUGGGGAGCGAACAGG
Molecule: ribosomal RNA, 253 nt
Filed under: uncultured bacterium
Lineage: Bacteria
Description: partial 16S ribosomal RNA
Rfam family: Bacterial small subunit ribosomal RNA
Source: RNAcentral